This 408-nucleotide ribosomal RNA is filed under the name uncultured bacterium. RNAcentral's name for it is "partial 16S ribosomal RNA". It matches the Rfam family "Bacterial small subunit ribosomal RNA", at positions 28 to 526 of the family's 1533-position model. The record is from RNAcentral.
GACGAACGCUGGCGGCGUGCUUAACACAUGCAAGUCGAACGGAGUGGCGAACGGGUGAGUACCACGUGGUUGAUCUGCCUUGCGCUUCGGGAUAAUCUUGGGAAACUGGGUCUAAGACCGGAUCGUGCAAAAUGCGCUAGCGGCCUAUCAGCUUGUUGGUGGGGUAAUGGCCUACCAAGGCGUCGACGGGUAGCCGGCCUGAGAGGGUGUACGGACACAUUGGGACUGAGAUACGGCCCAGACGCCUACGGGAGGAAGCAGUGGGGAAUAUUGCACAAUGGGCGGAAGCCUGAUGCAGCGACGCCGGGUGGGGGAUGAAGGCCUUCGGGUUGUAAACUCCUUUCGAAAGGGACGCGGUACCUGUAUAAGAAGCACCGGCUAACUACGUGCCAGCCGCCGCGGUAAUUC